CCAAAGUACGGAAUAGCCUCUGGAAACGGAGAGUAAUACCGUAUGUGCCCUUCGGGGAAAGAUUUAUCGCCUUUGGAUUAGCCCGCGUUAGAUUAGGUAGUUGGUGGGGUAAUGGCCUACCAAGCCUACGAUCUAUAGCUGGUUUUAGAGGAUGAUCAGCAACACUGGGACUGAGACACGGCCCAGACUCCUACGGGAGGCAGCAGUGGGGAAUCUUGGACAAUGGGGGCAACCCUGAUCCAGCCAUGCCGCGUGAGUGAUGAAGGCCUUAGGGUCGUAAAGCUCUUUCGCCUGUGAAGAUAAUGACGGUAGCAGGUAAAGAAACCCCGGCUAACUCCGUGCCAGCAGCCGCGGUAAUACGGAGGGGGUUAGCGUUGUUCGGAAUUACUGGGCGUAAAGCGCACGUAGGCGGAUCGGAAAGUUGGGGGUGAAAUCCCGGGGCUCAACCCCGAACUGCCUCCAAAACUAUCGGUCUAGAGUUCGAGAGAGGUGAGUGGAAUUCCGAGUGUAGAGGUGAAAUUCGUAGAUAUUCGGAGGA
RNAcentral lists this ribosomal RNA (538 nucleotides) under uncultured bacterium. Its description in RNAcentral is "bacterial SSU rRNA". It matches the Rfam family "Bacterial small subunit ribosomal RNA", at positions 131 to 705 of the family's 1533-position model. The record is from RNAcentral.